RNAcentral lists this ribosomal RNA (2248 nucleotides) under Dialister invisus CAG:218. Its description in RNAcentral is "LSU rRNA". It matches the Rfam family "Bacterial large subunit ribosomal RNA", at positions 293 to 2531 of the family's 2925-position model. The record is from RNAcentral. Lineage: Bacteria; Bacillati; Bacillota; Negativicutes; Veillonellales; Veillonellaceae.
CGGGGUUGAGGACCAUCAGACCCGCGAAGAACCUUAGCCGAAACUGUUGGGAAACAGUGCCAAAGACAGUGAAAGCCUGGUAGGCGAAAAAGAGAAACGCGGAGAUGGCACCAGAGUACCGCGGGACACGAGAAAUCCCGUGGGAAACAGGGGGGACCACCCUCCAAGGCAAAACACAGAUAUCGACCGAUAGCGCAUAGUACCAUGAGGGAAAGGUGAAAAGCACCCCGGGAGGGGAAUGAAAGAGAACCUGAAACCGUAUGUUUACAAGCAGUCGGAGACCGCUUAAUAAUAAGGUCGACGGCGUGCCUAUUGAAGAAUGAACCGGCGAGUUACGAAGCCUGGCAAGGUUAAGCAGGAAAUGCGGAGCCGAAGCGAAAGCGAGUCUUAAGAGGGCGCAAGUCAGGAAGCGUAGACCCGAAACCACAGUGAUCUACCCAUGUCCAGGUUGAAACACAGGUAAAAAUGUGUGGAGGACCGAACCUAUAUCCGUUGAAAAGGGUUAGGAUGAGGUGUGGGUAGGGGUGAAAUUCCAAUCGAACGUGGAGAUAGCUGGUUCUCCUCGAAAUAGCUUUAGGGCUAGCCUCAGGGAAAAGAUUGCAGGCGGUAGAGCACUGAUCAGGAGAGGGACCUACCCGGUUACCAAACCCAGUCAAACUCCGAAUGGCUGCAAUCAUACCUGGGAGUCAGACUGCGACUAAUAAGGGCCGCAGUCAAAAGGGAAACAGCCCAGACCAUCAGCUAAGGUCCCCAAUGCCGUGCUAAGUGGCGAAGGAUGUGGCAUUUCAUAAACAACCAGGAUGUUGGCUCAGAAGCAGCCACCAUUUAAAGAGUGCGUAAUAGCUCACUGGUCGAGAGACGCUGCGCCGAAAAUGUCCGGGGCUCAAGCACGGAACCGAAGCUAUGGCAUGAUAGCAAUAUCAUGGGUAGGGGAGCGUUCUUAUAAGGAAGAAGCAUGACCGGAAGGACAUGUGGACAAAUAAGAAGUGAGAAUGCCGGUAUGAGUAUCGAAAAGAAAGGUGAGAAUCCUUUCCACCGAAAGCCCGAGGGUUCCUGAGCAACGAUCGUCGACUCAGGGUAAGUCGGGACCUAAGCCGAGGCGAGAAGCGUAGGCGAUGGACAACAGGUUGAAAUUCCUGUACCGGAUCAAGUCGAUCGAGCGAAGGAGCGACGCAGGAGGGCACAUGAUCGCGCGGGUGGAAGAGCGCGUCCAAGUGCGUAUGUUGCUGCAGAGGAAAACCCCUGCAGCUAAAAGCAGAGACAUGAUGGGGAGUUAAAGGGAACUUUGACGAACUCAUGAAUCCCACACUGCCAAGAAAAACUUCUAGCGAGACAAGAUCCGCCCGUACCGUAAACCGACACAGGUAGGCGGGGAGAGAAUCCUAAGGUGCGCGGGAAAACCCUCGUUAAGGAACUCGGCAAAUUGCAUCCGUAACCUAGGGAGAAGGAUGGCCCCCGGUCAGUGAAGAGCAGAAACGCUCAGAGCUAAAAGGGGCGGCAGAAAAGAGGCCCAAGCAACUGUUUACCAAAAACACAGGUGCCUGCGAAAGCGAAAGCUGAAGUAUAGGUGCUGACGCCUGCCCGGUGCCGGAAGGUUAAGGAGAGAAGUUAGCGAAAGCGAAGCAUCGAACUGAAGCCCCGGUGAACGGCGGCCGUAACUAUAACGGUCCUAAGGUAGCGAAAUUCCUUGUCGGGUAAGUUCCGACCCGCAUGAAAGGCGUAAUGAUUUGGGCACUGUCUCAACGAGGGGCCCGGUGAAAUUGAAAUACCUGUGAAGAUGCAGGUUACCCGCGACUGGACAGAAAGACCCCAUGGAGCUUCACUGCAGCUUGAGAUUGAAUCCCGGUGACAGAUGCACAGGAUAGGUGGGAGGCGCCGAAGCAUUGCCCUAGGGCGGUGCGGAGCCGAUGUUGGGAUACCACCCUUCUGUUGCUGAGAUUCUAACGCGAGGAGUAACGACCCUGCGGACCCUCUCAGGCAGGCGGUUUGACUGGGGCGGUCGCCUCCGAAAGAGUAACGGAGGCGCCCAAAGGUUCCCUCAGGCCGGACAGAAACCGGCCGAAGAGUGCAAAGGCAGAAGGGAGCUUGACUGCGAGACCCACAAGUCGAGCAGAGACGAAAGUCGGGCUUAGUGAUCCGGUGGUACUGGGUGGAAAGGCCAUCGCUCAACGGAUAAAAGCUACCCUGGGGAUAACAGGCUAAUCUCUCCCAAGAGUUCAUAUCGACGGGGAGGUUUGGCACCUCGAUG